This 419-nucleotide ribosomal RNA is filed under the name bacterium. RNAcentral describes it as "partial 16S ribosomal RNA". It matches the Rfam family "Bacterial small subunit ribosomal RNA", at positions 355 to 776 of the family's 1533-position model. The record is from RNAcentral.
UGGGGGAUAUUGCACAAUGGGCGAAAGCCUGAUGCAGCGACGCCGCGUGGGGGAUGAAGGCCUUCGGGUUGUAAACUUCUUUUGCUCUGAACAAGGCGCACCAUGGGGUGUGUUGAGUGUAGGGGUUGAUUAGCGCCGGCUAACUACGUGCCAGCAGCCGCGGUAAUACGUAGGGCGCGAGCGUUGUCCGGAAUUAUUGGGCGUGAAGGGAUUGUAGGUGGCUGGUUGCGUCUGUCGUGAAAGCUCAUGGCUUAACUGUGGGUUUGCGGUGGGUACGGGCUGGCUUGAGUGCAGUAGGGGAGGCUGGAAUUCCUGGUGUAGCGGUGGAAUGCGCAGAUAUCAGGAGGAAUACCGGUGGCGAAGGCGGGUCUCUGGGCUGUUACUGACACUGAGGAGCGAAAGCAUGGGGAGCGAACAGG